Molecule: ribosomal RNA, 619 nt
Filed under: Penicillium shearii
Lineage: Eukaryota; Fungi; Ascomycota; Eurotiomycetes; Eurotiales; Aspergillaceae
Description: eukaryotic LSU rRNA
Rfam family: Eukaryotic large subunit ribosomal RNA
Source: RNAcentral
UGACCUCGGAUCAGGUAGGAUACCGCUGAACUUAAGCAUAUCAAUAAGCGGGAGGAAAAGAAACCAACCGGGAUUACCUAGUAACGGCGAGUGAAGCGGUAAGAGCUCAAAUUUGAAAGCUGGCCCCUUCGGGGUCCGCAUUGUAAUUUGCAGAGGAUGCUUCGGGAGCGGUCCCCAUCUAAGUGCCCUGGAACGGGCCGUCAUAGAGGGUGAGAAUCCCGUAUGGGAUGGGGUGCCCGCGCCCGUGUGAAGCUCCUUCGACGAGUCGAGUUGUUUGGGAAUGCAGCUCUAAUUGGGUGGUAAAUUUCAUCUAAAGCUAAAUAUUGGCCGGAGACCGAUAGCGCACAAGUAGAGUGAUCGAAAGAUGAAAAGCACUUUGAAAAGAGAGUUAAAAAGCACGUGAAAUUGUUGAAAGGGAAGCGCUUGCGAUCAGACUCGCUCGCGGGGUUCAGCCGGCCUUCGGGCCGGUGUACUUCCCCGCGGGCGGGCCAGCGUCGGUUUGGGCGGCCGGUCAAAGGCCCCUGGAAUGUAACGCCUCUCGGGGCGUCUUAUAGCCAGGGGUGCCAUGCGGCCUGCCCGGACCGAGGAACGCGCUUCGGCUCGGACGCUGGCAUAAUGU